RNAcentral lists this ribosomal RNA (209 nucleotides) under uncultured bacterium. Its description in RNAcentral is "partial 16S ribosomal RNA". It matches the Rfam family "Bacterial small subunit ribosomal RNA", at positions 524 to 732 of the family's 1533-position model. The record is from RNAcentral.
UACGGAGGGAGCUAGCGUUGUUCGUAAUUACUGGGCGUAAAGCGCACGUAGUCGGCUUUGUAAGUUAGAGGUGAAAGCCCGGGGCUCAACUCCGGAACUGCCUUUAAGACUGCAUCGCUUGAAUCCAGGAGAGGUGAGUGGAAUUCCGAGUGUAGAGGUGAAAUUCGUAGAUAUGCGGAAGAACACCAGUGGCGAAGGCGGCUCACUGG